AACGAACGCUGGCGGCAUGCCUAACACAUGCAAGUCGAACGAGACCUUCGGGUCUAGUGGCGCACGGGUGCGUAACGCGUGGGGACCUGCCUUUAGGUUCGGAAUAACUCAGAGAAAUUUGAGCUAAUACCGGAUGAUGUCUUUCGGACCAAAGAUUUAUCGCCUUUAGAUGGGCCCGCGUAAGAUUAGCUAGUUGGUGGGUAAAGGCCUACCAAGGCGACGAUCUUUAGCUGGUCUGAGAGGAUGAUCAGCCACACU
RNAcentral lists this ribosomal RNA (258 nucleotides) under uncultured bacterium. Its description in RNAcentral is "partial 16S ribosomal RNA". It matches the Rfam family "Bacterial small subunit ribosomal RNA", at positions 29 to 314 of the family's 1533-position model. The record is from RNAcentral.